RNAcentral lists this ribosomal RNA (447 nucleotides) under uncultured bacterium. RNAcentral describes it as "bacterial SSU rRNA". It matches the Rfam family "Bacterial small subunit ribosomal RNA", at positions 329 to 793 of the family's 1533-position model. The record is from RNAcentral.
UUCCAGACUCCUACGGGAGGCAGCAGUGGGGAAUAUUGCACAAUGGGGGAAACCCUGAUGCAGCGACGCCGCGUGAGCGAUGAAGUAUUUCGGUAUGUAAAGCUCUAUCAGCAGGGAAGAAGAUGACGGUACCUGACUAAGAAGCCCCGGCUAACUACGUGCCAGCAGCCGCGGUAAUACGUAGGGGGCAAGCGUUAUCCGGAUUUACUGGGUGUAAAGGGAGCGUAGACGGCGAUGCAAGCCAGAUGUGAAAGCCCGGGGCUCAACCCCGGGACUGCAUUUGGAACUGUGUGGCUGGAGUGUCGGAGAGGCAGGCGGAAUUCCUAGUGUAGCGGUGAAAUGCGUAGAUAUUAGGAGGAACACCAGUGGCGAAGGCGGCCUGCUGGACGAUGACUGACGUUGAGGCUCGAAAGCGUGGGGAGCAAACAGGAUUAGAUACCCCGGUAA